RNAcentral lists this unclassified non-coding RNA (358 nucleotides) under Scolecobasidium musae. RNAcentral describes it as "Ochroconis musae partial internal transcribed spacer region". The stretch from base 1 to 46 matches the Rfam family "Eukaryotic small subunit ribosomal RNA", at positions 1786 to 1831 of the family's 1831-position model. Lineage: Eukaryota; Fungi; Ascomycota; Dothideomycetes; Venturiales; Sympoventuriaceae. The record is from RNAcentral.
AAGUCGUAACAAGGUUUCCGUAGGUGAACCUGCGGAAGGAUCAUUACUGAGUGGCUGUAUUCGCGAUUCUCUUCGGAGGAGAGGCGAAGCUACCCGACCUGAUGUCAUUCUAUCCGAGGGUGCGUCCGCUUGAGAGAGCGGUUCGACGUUGGAGUGACCCGGACGAGGCGCUUGUCUCGAAAGGGGAAGCUCCGGGUCGGGCCGUGGCGCGCCUCUCGGCACAACUUUCCGCGGAAGUGGUAGGCGUUGACCUGCCCGCCGCGGGCCGUAUUUUCUACAACUCUUGAAGAAAACCUGAAGUCUGAAGAUCAAAACAAAAUGAAAAGCAAAACUUUCAACAACGGAUCUCUUGGCUCUG